CCUACGGGAGGCUGCAGUGGGGAAUAUUGGACAAUGGGGGCAACCCUGAUCCAGCCAUGCCGCGUGUGUGAAGAAGGCCCUCGGGUUGUAAAGCACUUUCAGUGAGGAAGAACGCCUGGUGGUUAAUACCCAUCAGGAAAGACAUCACUCACAGAAGAAGCACCGGCUAACUCUGUGCCAGCAGCCGCGGUAAUACGGAGGGUGCGAGCGUUAAUCGGAAUUACUGGGCGUAAAGCGCGCGUAGGUGGCUUGAUAAGCCGGUUGUGAAAGCCCCGGGCUCAACCUGGGAACGGCAUCCGGAACUGUCAAGCUAGAGUGCAGGAGAGGAAGGUAGAAUUCCCGGUGUAGCGGUGAAAUGCGUAGAGAUCGGGAGGAAUACCAGUGGCGAAGGCGGCCUUCUGGACUGACACUGACACUGAGGUGCGAAAGCGUGGGUAGCAAACAGGAUUAGAUACCCCAGUAGUC
RNAcentral lists this ribosomal RNA (465 nucleotides) under Vreelandella stevensii. Its description in RNAcentral is "partial 16S ribosomal RNA". It matches the Rfam family "Bacterial small subunit ribosomal RNA", at positions 338 to 795 of the family's 1533-position model. Lineage: Bacteria; Pseudomonadati; Pseudomonadota; Gammaproteobacteria; Oceanospirillales; Halomonadaceae. The record is from RNAcentral.